RNA transcript from Brienomyrus brachyistius, 1673 nucleotides. It is a transcript of the gene named transmembrane protein 176B-like, with no coding region annotated. Lineage: Eukaryota; Metazoa; Chordata; Actinopteri; Osteoglossiformes; Mormyridae. The record is from RefSeq and is a predicted model, not a curated record. The transcript has 7 exons.
CCAGUUCAUCACAAGGUCGUAGGACGUCCUGGGCAGGAAAGCAGUGCAGCACAAGGUCGUAGGACGUCCUGGGCAGGAAAGCAGUGCAGCACAAGGUCGUAGGAUGUCCUGGGCAGGAUAGCAGUUCAGCACAAGGUCGUAGGAAGUCCUGGGCAGGAAAGCAGUGCAUCACAAGGUCGUAGGACGUCCUGGGCAGGAAAGCAGUGCAUCACAAGGUCGUAGGACGUCCUGGGCAGGAUAGCAGUGCAGCACAAGGUCGUAGGACGUCCUGGGCAGGAAAGCAGUGCAUCACAAGGUCGUAGGAUGUCCUGGGCAGGAUAGCAGUUCAGCACAAGGUCGUAGGACGUCCUGGGCAGGAAAGCAGUGCAUCACAAGGUCGUAGGACGUCCUGGGCAGGAAAGCAGUGCAUCACAAGGUCGUAGGACGUCCUGGGCAGGAAAGCAGUGCAUCACAAGGUCGUAGGACGUCCUGGGCAGGAAAGCAGUGCAUCACAAGGUCGUAGGACGUCCUGGGCAGGAAAGCAGUGCAUCACACGGUCGUAGGACGUCCUGGGCAGGAAAGCAGUGCAUCACACGGUCGUAGGACGUCCUGGGCAGGAAAGCAGUGCAUCACACGGUCGUAGGACGUCCUGGGCAGGAAAGCAGUGCAUCACACGGUCGUAGGACGUCCUGGGCAGGAAAGCAGUGCAUUACAAGGUCAUAGGACCCAUCAGUUCAGUACAGCAAAAAGAAGCACUGUAGCAGGGCUGUUACAGUGCCAGUGCUGGUAUGGAUUUCACCCCUCUGUUUCUUGUGCACAGGUCUUCCUGAAUACAUGCAUGAGCUGUGGGUGUGGCGCGAUCGCGCUGACCGCCAUCGUGCUGUACUCCAUAGACCUGGCUAAUGGAGCUGGCGUCCCAUGGGCCUGCCGACAAAAUGACUACAACAACAACAACUAUGGCUAUGGCUACGGCUACGGCUACCGUACAACAAUCGCGCCCGAGGUCGCCCACAUGCGAGACAUUAACAGGCGCAGAAUCUUUGAGCUCUGCAACGAGAAAAGGCACAUGCUGCUGAUGAUGCUUGGGGGAAUAGAUAUUGUGUUGCUGGUUUGUGCUGUUCUACAGCUGUGCAUCAAUAUCAGUGUCAUUGUCGUGAACCUAAAGGCUCUGUGUCAGAAGCACAAGGAGGAUAAGGAGGACCCAAAGCUCCUUAAACCUCUUCUGGAUGAAGUUGCCGUCAUUCCUACGGUGUGAAGGAGCGACCCAUCAUGCACUGCUGCCAACGCGCACUAGUACAUGCUUCAUACAGCCACAUUUUCUUGAUUUGUGAUUCAGAAUGAACUCCUUGAGCACAGCUUUGGUCUCAGCCCAUCACAUGCUUGAUUAUCCGUUUAAAUCCCUUUCAAAUGUUCACAUUUAUAUUGUUUGAGUUAUACUUCAUUUUCUGAGACAUUUAUGACUCUUUAAAGGGGCAAUAUGGAAAGAGGGAAGCACUUUUCUUUAAAUGACUGUUUAUAUAAUCAUCACUUUUUACUCUUUUGAAUAAACUAAUUCAGCAUAACUGAGCUGUGAAUUGGAGAAAUACCAUCUAAAUAGGAGUUUGGCACCACAGACCAGCCCAUGUAACUUUUAUGGUCAGAAUUCAUCAUUGUUACUCUUUGAACUUCUGUAAUAAAGCAAGUUGCGCAAACUA